AGUGAACGCUGGCGGUAGGCCUAACAUAUGCAAGUCGAACGGCAGCACAGUAAGAGCUUGCUCUUACGGGUGGCGAGUGGCGGACGGGUGAGGAAUACAUCGGAAUCUACUUUUUCGUGGGGGAUAACGUAGGGAAACUUACGCUAAUACCGCAUACGACCUACGGGUGAAAGCAGGGGAUCUUCGGACCUUGCGCGAUUGAAUGAGCCGAUGUCGGAUUAGCUAGUUGGCGGGGUAAAGGCCCACCAAGGCGACGAUCCGUAGCUGGUCUGAGAGGAUGAUCAGCCACACUGGAACUGAGACACGGUCCAGACUCCUACGGGAGGCAGCAGUGGGGAAUAUUGGACAAUGGGCGCAAGCCUGAUCCAGCCAUACCGCGUGGGUGAAGAAGGCCUUCGGGUUGUAAAGCCCUUUUGUUGGGAAAGAAAAGCAGCAGGUUAAUACCCCGCUGUUCCGACGGUACCCAAAGAAUAAGCACCGGCUAACUUCGUG
This 492-nucleotide ribosomal RNA is filed under the name uncultured bacterium. Its description in RNAcentral is "partial 16S ribosomal RNA". It matches the Rfam family "Bacterial small subunit ribosomal RNA", at positions 29 to 507 of the family's 1533-position model. The record is from RNAcentral.